UCGAAAAAUUCACAAAAAAUAACAGCAGCUCGAACGUGCUCUUUACUUUGUGUCUUUAACUUUAUCUGUAGGUGUGUAAUGGCGUUUGUUGGUUUUUUUUACUUGACCUCACGAAAUAUAUACCUAAAUAAAACGGUGAUUUUAAAGCCCCGAUAUUGACGGUAUUUACCUACCAAAUACUAGUACUGCUGAUUCUGUAGACCCAGUAUUCGGACUGAUUGUUACAUGGUUAUGUGUGUUAAUAUACAUAAUGUUAAUAUAAAUAAUGUUUUUGAGCAACAAGUGGCCCUCCAUUAUCAUUUUAUUAAAGUCCUAUUAAAAUUGACCCAACAUUUACAAAGACUGUUCCAGAUAUACAAACAAGUAAUAUAAAUUAAUAAAACAGUUAUUUUGAACUUACAGACAAACACUACGGUUAUUUAUAAAGGUUUUGAUGACACGUAUCAUCAAUAAUAUUCAAGUACAAAUAUAAUAUAAUUAAGUAGUAAAUUGUUGCUACAUGACCGAGUAUAUAAGGAAAAAACAACAUUUUAACUCAAUCAUUGUGCAACAUUCAACGUACCAUUUAACUCGUAUUUGUGUUAGUAACAAUACAAGGACGUCAUGCAAAAACUGACGUUGUUAACUUUAUUUGUGGUGGCUGUAAUGGCUCAAGCAGAAGACAAGAAACCCCAAUACGAUUUGACAGAUGGACCAGCUCUGUUUGCAAAGUUUAUCAAGGAUUUCAACAAGGUAUACGAGGAUGAAGCCGACAAAGAGGUCCACUACCAAGAGUUUCUCAAAUCAUUAGAGGUCAUAAACAAAGCGAAUGCUGCAAACUCCGGUGCAACGUUCGAUAUCAAUGCACUUGCUGAUUAUACUCCCGAGCAGAGGAAGAAUUUACACGGAUUUAGGCGAAAUGAAUAGGAAAAAUAGCUUAAGUAUCUAGGGUAAAAGUGUUUUUAAGUAUAAUAAAUUAUUAAAACAAU
Molecule: long non-coding RNA, 968 nt
Organism: Bicyclus anynana (squinting bush brown)
Lineage: Eukaryota; Metazoa; Arthropoda; Insecta; Lepidoptera; Nymphalidae
Exons: 2
Source: RefSeq, a predicted model, not a curated record